CAGUAGCCGCGGUAAUACGAAGGGGGCUAGCGUUGUUCGGAAUUACUGGGCGUAAAGCGCACGUAGGCGGACAUUUAAGUCAGGGGUGAAAUCCCGGGGCUCAACCACGGAACUGCAUUUGAUACUGGGUGUCUAGAGUAUGGAAGAGGUGAGUGGAAUUCCGAGUGUAGAGGUGAAAUUCGUAGAUAUUCGGAGGAACACCAGUGGCGAAGGCGGCUCACUGGUCCAUUACUGACGCUGAGGUGCGAAAGCGUGGGGAGCAAACAGGAUUAGAUACCCCCGUAGUCCCUGUCUCUUAUAC
RNAcentral lists this ribosomal RNA (301 nucleotides) under uncultured bacterium. RNAcentral's name for it is "partial 16S ribosomal RNA". It matches the Rfam family "Bacterial small subunit ribosomal RNA", at positions 509 to 807 of the family's 1533-position model. The record is from RNAcentral.